CCUACGGGUGGCAGCAGUGGGGAAUAUUGGGCAAUGGGCGCAAGCCUGACCCAGCAACGCCGCGUGAAGGAAGAAGGCUUUCGGGUUGUAAACUUCUUUUGACAGGGAAGAGUAGCAGAAGGUGCCUGUCGAAUAAGCCACGGCUCACUCCGUGCCAGCCGCCGCGGUAAGAAGUAGGUGGCACGCGUUGUCCGGAUUUACUGGGUUGAAAGGGCGUGUAGCCGGGUUGACAAGUCAGAUGUGAAAUCCUGCGGCUUAACCGCAGAACUGCAUUUGAAACUGGUGAUCUUGAGUACUGGAGAGGCAGACGGAAGUCCUAGGGUAGCGGUGAAAUGCGUAGAUAUUAGGAGGAACACCAGUGGCGAAGGCGGUCUGCUGGACAGCAACUGACGGUGAGGCGCGAAAGCGUGGGGAGCAAACAGGAUUAGAUACCCCGGUAGUC
Molecule: ribosomal RNA, 442 nt
Filed under: uncultured bacterium
Lineage: Bacteria
Description: partial 16S ribosomal RNA
Rfam family: Bacterial small subunit ribosomal RNA
Source: RNAcentral